CAAGACAGAGGGUUGAUGCCCAGAGAGGAGCCAUGUUGAGGAUACUACACAAAAUGGAAUGUGGACACGGGAAGAUUUGGCUAUUUUGGGUAACUGAGACCUGAUCCUGUGAGGGAAGAAAAGUUUUUCAUGCAUACGGUGGUGAUCAGAGAAAAGACCGGAUUCUAUUUCUUGUACCAUCCACAGGCAGGAAUGCCACCUUGUUAGGCGAAAUUGCAGAUACAGAAACAGAUGCACAUGAUGACAUUUUAGAAAACAUAAUCAAAAGGGCAGCUUUGCAUAUUACGGAGGAGGGUCGACAAAG
Molecule: long non-coding RNA, 304 nt
Organism: Stylophora pistillata
Lineage: Eukaryota; Metazoa; Cnidaria; Anthozoa; Scleractinia; Pocilloporidae
Source: RefSeq, a predicted model, not a curated record